AACGAACGCUGGCGGCAUGCUUAACACAUGCAAGUCGAACGAUACCUUCGGGUCUGGUGGCGCUCGGUUGCGAAACGGGUGGGAACCUGUCUUUAGGCUGGGCCUGACUCCCCGAAAGGUGUGCUAAUACGGGGUAAUUUCUGGGGGCCAAAGAUUGAUCGCUUUUGGGUGGGCCCGCGUUGGAUUCGCCGGUUGGUAGGGUAACAGCCUACCAAGGCGACGGUCCCUAGCUGGGCUGCGAGGCUGAUCAGCCACGCUUGGACUGAGACACGGACCAGACUCGUACGCGACGCAGCAGUGGAGAACAUUGGACACUGGGCGAAAGCGUGAUCCAGCCACGCCGCGUGAGUGAUGAAGGCCUUAGGGUACUUAAGCUAGUUUACCCGGGAUGAUAAUGACAGUACCGGGAGAAUAAGCUCCGGCUAACUCCGUG
This 433-nucleotide ribosomal RNA is filed under the name uncultured bacterium. RNAcentral's name for it is "partial 16S ribosomal RNA". It matches the Rfam family "Bacterial small subunit ribosomal RNA", at positions 29 to 507 of the family's 1533-position model. The record is from RNAcentral.